GGUUGAUCCUGCCAGUAGUCAUAUGCUUGUUUCAAAGAUUAAGCCAUGCAAGUCUAAGUAUAAACUAACUUAUACGGUAAAACUGCGAAUAGCUCAUUACAACAGUUAUAAUUUAAACGAUGAUCAAUACUAAAUGGAUAUCCAUGGUAAUUCUGGAGCUAAUACAUGCGACAACCCCGACUCUUUGGAAGGGGCGCAUUCAUUAGUUCGCGAACCAAUCAGAAGGGCAACUUUCUGUUACAGGUGAUCACAAUGAAACAGCGGAUCUCGUCUUUGAGACUGUUCGUUCGAGU
Molecule: ribosomal RNA, 293 nt
Filed under: uncultured eukaryote
Lineage: Eukaryota
Description: partial 18S ribosomal RNA
Rfam family: Eukaryotic small subunit ribosomal RNA
Source: RNAcentral